CUACGGGAGGCAGCAGUGAGGAAUUUUGCGCAAUGGGGGAAACCCUGACGCAGCAACGCCGCGUGAGUGAUGAAGGCCUUCGGGUCGUAAAACUCUGUCAAGUGGGAAGAACCUAUGUAAGGUUAAUACCCUUAUGUACUGACGGUACCACUGAAGGAAGCACCGGCUAACUCCGUGCCAGCAGCCGCGGUAAUACGGAGGGUGCAAGCGUUAUUCGGAAUUAUUGGGCGUAAAGGGCGCGCAGGCGGUUUUGUAAGUCAGAUGUGAAGGCCCGGGGCUUAACCUCGGAAGUGCAUUUGAUACUGGAAGACUUGAGUAUGGGAGGGGGAAGUGGAAUUCCUGGUGUAGAGGUGAAAUUCGUAGAUAUCAGGAGGAACACCAGUGGCGAAGGCGACUUCCUGGACCAAUACUGACGCUGAGGCGCGAAGGCGUGGGGAGCAAACAGGAUUAGAUACCCCGGUAGUC
RNAcentral lists this ribosomal RNA (465 nucleotides) under uncultured bacterium. RNAcentral describes it as "partial 16S ribosomal RNA". It matches the Rfam family "Bacterial small subunit ribosomal RNA", at positions 339 to 795 of the family's 1533-position model. The record is from RNAcentral.